This 402-nucleotide ribosomal RNA is filed under the name uncultured prokaryote. RNAcentral describes it as "bacterial SSU rRNA". It matches the Rfam family "Bacterial small subunit ribosomal RNA", at positions 355 to 774 of the family's 1533-position model. The record is from RNAcentral.
UGGGGAAUAUUGGACAAUGGGCGAAAGCCUGAUCCAGCAAUGCCGCGUGAGUGAUGAAGGCCUUAGGGUUGUAAAGCUCUUUUACCCGGGAUGAUAAUGACAGUACCGGGAGAAUAAGCCCCGGCUAACUCCGUGCCAGCAGCCGCGGUAAUACGGAGGGGGCUAGCGUUGUUCGGAAUUACUGGGCGUAAAGCGCACGUAGGCGGCUUUGUAAGUUAGAGGGGAAAGCCCGGAGCUCAACGCCGGAACUGCCUUUAAGACUGCAUCGCUUGAACGUCGGAGAGGUAAGUGGAAUUCCGAGUGUAGAGGUGAAAUUCGUAGAUAUUCGGAAGAACACCAGUGGCGAAGGCGACUUACUGGACGACUGUUGACGCUGAGGUGCGAAAGCGUGGGGAGCAAACA